Molecule: ribosomal RNA, 405 nt
Filed under: uncultured bacterium
Lineage: Bacteria
Description: partial 16S ribosomal RNA
Rfam family: Bacterial small subunit ribosomal RNA
Source: RNAcentral
AUUGAACGCUGGCGGCAGGCUUAACACAUGCAAGUCGAACGAGUGGCGGACGGGUGAGUAAUGCUUGGGAAUCUAGCUUAUGGCGGGGGAUAACUACGGGAAACUGUAGCUAAUACCGAUAACCAGAGGAUGAGCUCACGGGGGGUUAGGUAGUUGGUGAGGUAAAGGCUCACCAAGCAGACGAUCUCUAGCUGGUCUGAGAGGAUGACCAGACACAAUGGGACGGAGACACGGCCCAGACGCCUACGGGAGGCAGCAGUGGGGAAUAUGGCGCAAUGGGGGCAACCUGACGCAGCCAUGCCGCGUGAAUGACGAAGGCCUUCGGGUGGUAAAGUUCUUGCGGUAGCGAGGCGUUAACUACAGAAGAUGCACCGGCUAACUCCGUGCCAGCAGCCGCGGUAAUAC